CUGGCGGCGUGCCUAACACAUGCAAGUCGAGCGAGGAGAUUCCGUCGGGAUGAUCCUAGCGGCGGACGGGUGAGUAACACGUGGGCAACCUGCCUCAUAGAGAGGAAUAGCCUUCCGAAAGGGAGAUUAAUACCUCAUAACAUUGCAGUUUCGCAUGGAACAGCAAUUAAAGGAGCAAUCCACUAUGAGAGUGGGCCCGCGGCGCAUUAGCUAGUUGGUGAGGUAACGGUUCACCAAGGCGACGAUGCGUAGCCGACCUGAGAGGGUGAUCGGCCACAUUGGGACUGAGACACGGCCCAGACUCCGUACGGGAGGCAGCAGGUGGGGAAUAUUGCACAAUGGGGGAAACCCUGAUGCAAGCAACGCCGCGUGAGUGAUGACGGCCUUCGGGUUGUAAAGCUCUGUCUUCAGGGACGAUAAUGACGGUACCUGAGGAGGAAGCCACGGCUAACUACGUGCCAGCAGCGGC
This 469-nucleotide ribosomal RNA is filed under the name uncultured bacterium. RNAcentral describes it as "bacterial SSU rRNA". It matches the Rfam family "Bacterial small subunit ribosomal RNA", at positions 36 to 518 of the family's 1533-position model. The record is from RNAcentral.